AGGGCGCAAGGGGAAUGCCUUGGCAUUGGAAGCCGAUGAAGGACGUAGCGAUCUACGAAAAGCCCCGGGGAGGCGAAAGCAGCCAUCGAUCCGAGGAUAUCCGAAUGGGGAAACCCGGCGGAGCAAUACUCCGUCAUCCUUUUGUGAAUCCAUAGCAACUGGAAGGGAACCGCCUGAACUGAAACAUCUAAGUAGGGCGAGGAAGAGAAAUCAACCGAGAUUCCGCUAGUAGUGGCGAGCGAACGCGGAAGAGGCCAAACCAAGAGUAGUAAUACUUUUGGGGUUUUGGACAGCGUACGGUAUUAACUGCGGUUAGUAGAAUGAAAUGGGAAGUUCAACCACAGAGCGUGAUAGUCGCGUACACGAAAACUAAAGUUAGCCAGCUGGAUCCAGAGUACCGCCGGACACGUGAAACCCGGUGGGAAGACGGGGGGACCACCCUCCAAGCCUAAAUACUCUCCAAUGACCGAUAGUGUAUAGUACUGUGAAGGAAAGGUGAAAAGAACCCCUGGCGGGGAGUGAAAUAGAACCUGAAACCUUGUGCCUACAAGCACAUAGAGCGCGUCAAUGCGUGAUAUGGUACCUUUUGUAGAAUGGUCCGGCGAGUGAAUGUCACUGGCAAGGUUAAGCUCUUAAGGAGUGCAGCCGAAGCGAAAGCGAGUCUGAAAUGGGCGUUUUUAGUCAGUGGUAUUCGACCCGAAACCGGGUGACCUAGCCAUGAGCAGGCUGAAGUGGAGGUAAAACUCCAUGGAGGGCCGAACCCACUCCCGUUGAAAUGGUAGGGGAUGACUUGUGGCUAGCGGAGAAAUUCCAAUCGAACCCGGAGAUAGCUGGUUCUCUCCGAAAUAGCUUUAGGGCUAGCCUCAAUUAACAUUACCGCAGGUAAAGCACUGAAUGAGCUAGGGGGCGAAAGCUUACUGAACUCUAUCAAACUCAGAAUGGCGGAUAAUGAAUGAUUGGGAGUCACACUACGUGAGAUAAGUUUCGUGGUGGAAAGGGAAACAGCCCAGACCCACAGCUAAGGUCCCAAAGUACAGUUAAGUGGAAAAGGAUGUGAAAUUGCGCAGACAACCAGGAUGUUGGCUCAGAAGCAGCCACUCAUUCAAAGAGUGCGUAAUAGCUCACUGGUCGAGUGAUUUUGCGCCGAAAAUUUAACGGGGCUAAACUGUACACCGAAGCUUGGGAAUAUACAUUUGUAUGUUGGUAGGAGAGCGUUGUGUAAGGGGUGAAGUCGUAGCGAAAGCGGCGGUGGACUUUACACAAGUGAGAAUGCCGGAAUGAGUAGCGAGAAUUAUGUGAGAAUCAUAAUGGCCGAAAGACUAAGGUUUUAGAAGGAAGGUUCGUCCGCUUCUAGUUAGCCGGGAGCUAAGGCGAGGCCGAGAGGCGUAGUCGAUGCACAUACGGUUGAGAUUCCGUAGCUACCUUGCAUUUAAGCGAAGGGACACAUUUGAAGGGCAUGACCCGGGCGUUGGUUGACCCGGGCGUAAGGGACCGAAAAUAAGUAGGGAAGCAUGCUUGGAUGGUGGCGAGAAAAGCUUCGUGUAUAUAAGCAGGGUACCCGUACUGCAAACCGACACAGGUAGUCAGGAAGAGGAUUCUAAGGCCAUCGGGAGAAGCGUUGUUAAGGAACUCGGCAAAUUGACCCCGUAACUUCGGAAUAAGGGGUGCUCACGCGAGUGAGCCGCAGUGAAUAGGUCCAGGCAACUGUUUAUCAAAAACACAGCUCUCUGCUAAAUCGUAAGAUGACGUAUAGGGGGUGACACCUGCCCGGUGCUGGAAGGUUAAGAGGAGGGGUGCAAGCUCCGAAUUGAAGCCCCAGUAAACGGCGGCCGUAACUAUAACGGUCCUAAGGUAGCGAAAUUCCUUGUCGGGUAAGUUCCGACCCGCACGAAUGGUGUAAUGAUCUGGACACUGUCUCAACAACGCACCCGGCGAAAUUGUAGUACCGGUGAAGAUGCCGGUUACCCGCGGCAAGACGGAAAGACCCCAUGGAGCUUCACUGCAGCUUGAUAUUGGGUCUCGGUAUUUUAUGUACAGGAUAGGCGGGAGACUUGGAAACCAGCACGCCAGUGUUGGCGGAGUCACCCUUGGGAUACCGCUCUUAAAGUAUUGAGAUUCUAACCUGCAGCCAUGAAUCUGGCUGGGGGACAUUGUCAGGUGGGCAGUUUGACUGGGGCGGUCGC
This 2183-nucleotide ribosomal RNA is filed under the name human gut metagenome. RNAcentral's name for it is "bacterial LSU rRNA". It matches the Rfam family "Bacterial large subunit ribosomal RNA", at positions 14 to 2286 of the family's 2925-position model. The record is from RNAcentral.